This 253-nucleotide ribosomal RNA is filed under the name uncultured bacterium. Its description in RNAcentral is "partial 16S ribosomal RNA". It matches the Rfam family "Bacterial small subunit ribosomal RNA", at positions 524 to 776 of the family's 1533-position model. The record is from RNAcentral.
UACAGAGGUCCCAAGCGUUGUUCGGAUUCACUGGGCGUAAAGGGUGCGUAGGUGGCCGGGUAAGUCUGACGUGAAAUCUCCGAGCCUAACUCGGAAACUGCAUCGGAUACUAUCCGGCUUGAGGGUUGGAGGGGGGACUGGAAUACUUGGUGUAGCAGUGAAAUGCGUAGAUAUCAAGUGGAACACCAGUGGCGAAGGCGAGUCCCUGGACAACUCCUGACACUGAGGCACGAAAGCUAGGGGAGCAAGCAGG